RNA transcript from Salmo salar (Atlantic salmon), 2914 nucleotides. It is a transcript of the gene named LIM and senescent cell antigen-like-containing domain protein 1, with no coding region annotated. The record is from RefSeq and is a predicted model, not a curated record. Lineage: Eukaryota; Metazoa; Chordata; Actinopteri; Salmoniformes; Salmonidae.
GUCAGCGCAACAGGAGUGCUAUCAAUAUAAUAGCCGUCAGAGGGCGCUAUUUCGUCCCUUUUCUUUUGAAAACGCCAGCUACCAAAGAAAGGGUGGCUCCACCAAGAUUCUAGAGGAAAAAAAUUGCUAGUUGGCUAGGUGUCGCCGCUCGGAUCAAUCCAUUACUCGUCCUAUUUGAAGACCCCGGGGAAAAGUCGAUACGUUUCUGAAACGGUGGUGUUGAUAGGUGAUGCUGGGAGUAGUAGAAAUGACGGGCAGCAACAUGGCGAACGCCCUGGCUAACGCGUCCUGCGAGCGCUGUAAGAGCGGCUUCGCCCCGGCAGAGAAGAUCGUCAACAGCAACGGGGAGCUGUACCACGAGGGCUGCUUCGUCUGUGCACAGUGCUUCCAGCAGUUCCCUGAGGGGCUCUUCUAUGAGUUUGAAGGCAGGAAAUACUGUGAACAUGACUUCCAGAUGCUCUUCGCUCCCUGCUGCCACCAGUGUGGGGAGUUCAUCAUUGGCCGUGUGAUCAAGGCCAUGAACAACAGCUGGCAUCCUGAUUGUUUCUGCUGUGAUAUCUGCCAGGCUGUGCUCGCUGACGUCGGCUUCGUUAAGAACGCUGGCAGGCACCUAUGUCGGCCUUGCCAUAACCGUGAGAAGGCUAGAGGUCUGGGGAAGUACAUCUGUCAGAAAUGCCAUGCCAUCAUCGAGGAUAGCCCCCUCAUCUUUAAGAACGACCCCUACCACCCAGACCACUUCAACUGCAACAACUGUGGUAAGGAGCUGACAGCCGAUGCCAGGGAGCUGAAGGGAGAGCUGUACUGUCUGCCCUGCCAUGAUAAGAUGGGGGUGCCGAUCUGUGGCGCCUGCAGGAGGCCCAUCGAGGGACGCGUGGUCAACGCCAUGGGAAAGCAGUGGCACGUCGAGCACUUUGUGUGUAGUGUAUGUGAGCGAUCGUUCCAGGGCCAUCCCUACUAUGAAUGUAAGGGCUAUGCCUACUGCGAGUGGCACUUUAACAUGCAUUUUGUGUGUGCUAAGUGUGAGAAGCCGUUCCUUGGACACCGCCACUAUGAGAGGAAGGGUCUGGCCUACUGUGAGACCCACUACAACCAGCUCUUUGGUGAUGUGUGCUACCACUGCAACAGAGUGAUUGAAGGAGAUGUGGUGUCAGCCCUGAACAAAGCAUGGUGUGUGAACUGUUUCUCCUGCGCCACCUGCAACACCAAGCUCACCCUCAAAGACAAGUUUGUAGAGGUAGAUCUGAAGCCUAUAUGUAAGCACUGUUACGAGCGGAUGCCUGAGGAGCUGAAACGCAGACUGGCCCGACGCGAGAGGGACGCCUCAAAAGACCGCAAAAAGAAACCUGUUAUCUGUCUGUAGAUUUCUCCAGUCAUCUUCCUUUCAUCUUCACUAUCCUCCUCUCGCUCAUUUUCAUCCAUUGGAACAAGUUUGUGGAGUUUGACAUGAAGCCUGUGUGUAAGAAAUGUUAUGAGAAGUUUCCUCUGGAGCUGAAGAAGAGACUGAAGAAACUGGCUGAAACCGUCGGACGCAAGUAGACCUCCGAGUACCAAGGGGGCGACACUCAACAAAAUUCUAGUAACUUUUCCAAAAUUCCAGAAACUCUGGAAAAUUCCCUGAAUUUCCGGAUGUCCUGCUUAUUCCCUAUUGAUUCUGGGGAUCUUCCAUUUCGGGGUUUCUAGAAACCUGUGAUUUUAAGAAAGUUACUGGAGGUUUGCAGCCCUACGAGCAAUGCUGAAACCUAAUAUUAACCUUAAGUGCCCAAAUUAGUCAAAUGAAUCGUAUAAAUGUGUCAGAUUAGACUCAAAAUACUGUCUGUUACAGUACUUUAGUCUUUGACGUCCUCAGGUACUCAGUAUAACGUGUUAAUCUUUUCUCAAUUUUUAAUUGAUUAUUUUUGUGCAAGUGGCUUUUGCAUGUGGAGCUGUUUUCCAGAUGUCCAGAGUCUCUUAUUCAAACAAUAUAGAACCUCAUUCUGCCUGACAAUGACCUAUUAAAGCAUGGAGAGGGAAAAACGAUACAUUUACAUACUGUUAAAAAAGAAUACAUAUAACUGUCUGAUCUAGUUUGGCCACGAGUGGACCUCAUGACAUCUAACUAAAUACUUGCACACUGUCUUAAAGCGAUGAGAAGGUGCUUGUAGGACUCUUAAAAUAGCUUUUGCCUUGUGCCUUGGGUAUGAAUAUACACUGAGUAUACAAAAUAUUUCCAUGACAUAGACUGAUCAGGUGAAAGCUAUGAUCCCUUAUUGACGUCUCUUCAAUCAGUAGAUGACAGAUUUAAAGGAUUUUUAACUCAAUACUUCGAUGGUGUUCCUCAUGUCUGGUAAGCUCAGUGUAUAUUUUAUACUGCAUUAUAUACUGUAAGUUUGUCAGAUAAUAUGCAUGUGGUUGCCCAAUAUACUGGCAUGUGAUCCAGACUUACUACAUCUGCCUUAAUCAGAGAAUAUUCCUCACUUCUGUGUAAGAAUGAGAAUUCUAGCCGUGUAUCAGAACGUGGAGCCCAUGAGUCUGGUAUAUCAUGUGAGUCUAGUAUAUCACGUAUCCUAACAUUUGCUUGUAAUAAAAUAAAAUGUCAUGGGUUUGUUUGAAUAUAACCGUUUCAGAGGAGGAGAGCUGAAAGGAGAUGGACACGUCUUAGCACAGUCUCCAUUUUGUUCCAUCACUGUGUUGCUGACAUGUAUAAACAAGUUAGGGGAGUGUUUCAUGGAGCACAAUCGCUUAAGUUGAAUUAGCUAGAUGGGUAUGAUAAAUAUAUGUAUGUAAAGGUCUUAAACAUACUAAUAGUUGGGUUAGAUGAACACUUUGAUAAAGGAGCCAUUUUUGCAUAAAUAGAAAUAAUGGGAGAUGCUUUAUGAAUUUGUUGACUAAAAUCUGGUUUAAAAAGACAAUUUAAUAAACAUGUAGUUGUUUCAGA